RNAcentral lists this ribosomal RNA (253 nucleotides) under uncultured bacterium. RNAcentral describes it as "partial 16S ribosomal RNA". It matches the Rfam family "Bacterial small subunit ribosomal RNA", at positions 524 to 776 of the family's 1533-position model. The record is from RNAcentral.
UACAGAGGGUGCGAGCGUUGUCCGGAAUCACUGGGCGUAAAGGGCGCGUAGGCGGCUUGACAAGCGUGCGGUGAAAGCUCGGGGCUCAACCCCGAGUCGGCCGUGCGAACUGUCAGGCUUGAGCACAGUAGAGGCAGAUGGAAUUCCGGGUGUAGCGGUGAAAUGCGUAGAUAUCCGGAGGAACACCGGUGGCGAAGGCGGCUUCCUGGACCGACACUGACGCUGAGGCGCGAAAGCUAGGGGAGCAAACGGG